Molecule: ribosomal RNA, 310 nt
Filed under: Paulasterias sp. AAR
Lineage: Eukaryota; Metazoa; Echinodermata; Asteroidea; Forcipulatida; Paulasteriidae
Description: partial 12S ribosomal RNA
Source: RNAcentral
CUUAUAGACCUUCCUGGAGGAGCUUGCUAUCUAACCGAUAACCCACGUUAAACCUUACCAGCCCUUGAACACCAGCCUGUAUACCAUCGUCGUCAGCCUACCCCCCAAGGAAAGUAUACAAAAUGGGCCAAAAUUCCCACUACGCCAGAUCGAGGUGCAGCUUAUGGGCUGGGGAUCAGUGAGCUACAAUGAUAAAACAAUAACACCUAAAAUAAAAUUUUGAAUAAGCCAAAGAAUCUUUGUUUUGAAACUGGAUUCAGCAGUAACAACUAACAGAAAAUAGUUGUGAACCUUUAGCUCUAUAAUGCGC